GACCUCAGAUCAGGCAAGGCUACCCGCUGUAUUUAAGCAUAUUAAUAAGCGGAGGAAAAGAAACUAACAGGAUCCCCUAGUAAUGGCGAAUGAGCGA
RNAcentral lists this ribosomal RNA (97 nucleotides) under Zoanthus sansibaricus. RNAcentral's name for it is "partial 28S ribosomal RNA". It matches the Rfam family "Eukaryotic large subunit ribosomal RNA", at positions 1 to 100 of the family's 3401-position model. Lineage: Eukaryota; Metazoa; Cnidaria; Anthozoa; Zoantharia; Zoanthidae. The record is from RNAcentral.